RNAcentral lists this ribosomal RNA (253 nucleotides) under uncultured bacterium. RNAcentral's name for it is "partial 16S ribosomal RNA". It matches the Rfam family "Bacterial small subunit ribosomal RNA", at positions 524 to 776 of the family's 1533-position model. The record is from RNAcentral.
UACGUAGGGCGCAAGCGUUGUCCGGAAUUAUUGGGCGUAAAGAGCUCGUAGGCGGCUUGUCACGUCGGGUGUGAAAGCCCGGGGCUUAACCCCGGGUCUGCAUUCGAUACGGGCUAGCUAGAGUGUGGUAGGGGAGAUCGGAAUUCCUGGUGUAGCGGUGAAAUGCGCAGAUAUCAGGAGGAACACCGGUGGCGAAGGCGGAUCUCUGGGCCAUUACUGACGCUGAGGAGCGAAAGCUAGGGGAGCAAACAGG